This 435-nucleotide ribosomal RNA is filed under the name uncultured bacterium. Its description in RNAcentral is "partial 16S ribosomal RNA". It matches the Rfam family "Bacterial small subunit ribosomal RNA", at positions 29 to 507 of the family's 1533-position model. The record is from RNAcentral.
AGCGAACGCUGGCGGCAGGCUUAACACAUGCAAGUCGAGCGGGCACUUUCGGGUGUCAGCGGCGGACGGGUGAGUAACGCGUGGGAACGUGCCCUCUGGUUCGGAAUAACUCAGGGAAACUUGAGCUAAUACCGGAUACGCCCUUUUGGGGAAAGGCUUGCUGCCGGAGGAUCGGCCCGCGUCUGAUUAGCUAGUUGGUGAGGUAACGGCUCACCAAGGCGACGAUCAGUAGCUGGUCUGAGAGGAUGAUCAGCUACACUGGGACUGAGACACGGCCCAGACUCCUACGGGAGGCAGCAGUGGGGAAUAUUGGACAAUGGGCGCAAGCCUGAUCCAGCCAUGCCGCGUGAGUGAUGAAGGCCUUAGGGUUGUAAAGCUCUUUUAUCCGGGACGAUAAUGACGGUACCGGAGGAAUAAGCCCCGGCUAACUUCGUG